RNAcentral lists this ribosomal RNA (460 nucleotides) under uncultured bacterium. RNAcentral's name for it is "partial 16S ribosomal RNA". It matches the Rfam family "Bacterial small subunit ribosomal RNA", at positions 338 to 795 of the family's 1533-position model. The record is from RNAcentral.
CCUACGGGAGGCAGCAGUGAGGAAUAUUGGUCAAUGGGCGGGAGCCUGAACCAGCCAAGUCGCGUGAGGGAAGACGGUCCUAUGGAUUGUAAACCUCUUUAGGCGGGGAGCAAUGCCGGGCACGCGUGCCCGGAGGGAGAGUACCCGCAGAAUAAGCAUCGGCUAACUCCGUGCCAGCAGCCGCGGUAAUACGGAGGAUGCGAGCGUUAUCCGGAUUUAGUGGGUUUAAAGGGUGCGUAGGCGGAUUUUUAAGUCAGCGGUAAAAUGUCCGGGCUCAACCCGGGCCGGCCGUUGAAACUGGGGAUCUUGAGUGGGCGAGAAGUAUGCGGAAUGCGUGGUGUAGCGGUGAAAUGCAUAGAUAUCACGAAGAACUCCGAUUGCGAAGGCAGCAUACCGGCACCCGACUGACGCUGAGGCACGAAAGCGUGGGGAUCGAACAGGAUUAGAUACCCUAGUAGUC